AACGAACGCUGGCGGCAGGCUUAACACAUGCAAGUCGAGCGCCCCGCAAGGGGAGCGGCAGACGGGUGAGUAACGCGUGGGAACGUACCCUUAUCUUCGGGAUAGCCCCGGGAAACUGGAAUUAAUACCGAAUGUGCCCUUUGGGGGUAAGAUUUAUCGGAUAAGGAUCGGCCCGCGUUGGAUUAGCUAGUUGGUGGGGUAAAGGCCUACCAAGGCGACGAUCCAUAGCUGGUGUGAGAGGAUGAUCAGCCACAUUGGGACUGAGACACGGCCCAAACUCCUACGGGAGGCAGGAGUGGGGGAUAUUGGACAAUGGGGGCAAGCCUGAUCCAGCCAUGCCGCGUGAGUGAUGAAGGCCUUAGGGUUGUAAAGCUCUUUCACCGGAGAAGAUAAUGACGGUACCCGGAGAAGAAGCCCCGGCUAACUUCGUG
Molecule: ribosomal RNA, 431 nt
Filed under: uncultured bacterium
Lineage: Bacteria
Description: partial 16S ribosomal RNA
Rfam family: Bacterial small subunit ribosomal RNA
Source: RNAcentral